Molecule: ribosomal RNA, 1448 nt
Filed under: Salmonella enterica subsp. enterica serovar Muenchen
Lineage: Bacteria; Pseudomonadati; Pseudomonadota; Gammaproteobacteria; Enterobacterales; Enterobacteriaceae
Also listed under: 1 other name
Description: partial 23S ribosomal RNA
Rfam family: Bacterial large subunit ribosomal RNA
Source: RNAcentral
GGGGCAGGGUGAGUCGACCCCUAAGGCGAGGCCGAAAGGCGUAGUCGAUGGGAAACGGGUUAAUAUUCCCGUACUUGGUGUUACUGCGAAGGGGGGACGGAGAAGGCUAUGUUGGCCGGGCGACGGUUGUCCCGGUUUAAGCGUGUAGGUGUGUGUUCCAGGUAAAUCCGGUUCACUUUAACACUGAGGCGUGAUGACGAGGCACUACGGUGCUGAAGCAACAAAUGCCCUGCUUCCAGGAAAAGCCUCUAAGCAUCAGGUAACACGAAAUCGUACCCCAAACCGACACAGGUGGUCAGGUAGAGAAUACCAAGGCGCUUGAGAGAACUCGGGUGAAGGAACUAGGCAAAAUGGUGCCGUAACUUCGGGAGAAGGCACGCUGACACGUAGGUGAAGUGAUUUACUCAUGGAGCUGAAGUCAGUCGAAGAUACCAGCUGGCUGCAACUGUUUAUUAAAAACACAGCACUGUGCAAACACGAAAGUGGACGUAUACGGUGUGACGCCUGCCCGGUGCCGGAAGGUUAAUUGAUGGGGUCAGCGCAAGCGAAGCUCCUGAUCGAAGCCCCGGUAAACGGCGGCCGUAACUAUAACGGUCCUAAGGUAGCGAAAUUCCUUGUCGGGUAAGUUCCGACCUGCACGAAUGGCGUAAUGAUGGCCAGGCUGUCUCCACCCGAGACUCAGUGAAAUUGAACUCGCUGUGAAGAUGCAGUGUACCCGCGGCAAGACGGAAAGACCCCGUGAACCUUUACUAUAGCUUGACACUGAACAUUGAGCCUUGAUGUGUAGGAUAGGUGGGAGGCUUUGAAGUGUGGACGCCAGUCUGCAUGGAGCCGACCUUGAAAUACCACCCUUUAAUGUUUGAUGUUCUAACGUGGACCCGUUACCCGGGUUGCGGACAGUGUCUGGUGGGUAGUUUGACUGGGGCGGUCUCCUCCUAAAGAGUAACGGAGGAGCACGAAGGUUGGCUAAUCCUGGUCGGACAUCAGGAGGUUAGUGCAAUGGCAUAAGCCAGCUUGACUGCGAGCGUGACGGCGCGAGCAGGUGCGAAAGCAGGUCAUAGUGAUCCGGUGGUUCUGAAUGGAAGGGCCAUCGCUCAACGGAUAAAAGGUACUCCGGGGAUAACAGGCUGAUACCGCCCAAGAGUUCAUAUCGACGGCGGUGUUUGGCACCUCGAUGUCGGCUCAUCACAUCCUGGGGCUGAAGUAGGUCCCAAGGGUAUGGCUGUUCGCCAUUUAAAGUGGUACGCGAGCUGGGUUUAGAACGUCGUGAGACAGUUCGGUCCCUAUCUGCCGUGGGCGCUGGAGAACUGAGGGGGGCUGCUCCUAGUACGAGAGGACCGGAGUGGACGCAUCACUGGUGUUCGGGUUGUCAUGCCAAUGGCACUGCCCGGUAGCUAAAUGCGGAAGAGAUAAGUGCUGAAAGCAUCUAAGCACGAAACUUGCCCCGA